Molecule: long non-coding RNA, 988 nt
Filed under: Equus caballus (horse)
Lineage: Eukaryota; Metazoa; Chordata; Mammalia; Perissodactyla; Equidae
Description: lncRNA (ENSECAG00000029442.3)
Source: RNAcentral
AGGCUGCACCCGGCACCUCUCCUGCCCACGCACCCUUCGGGCCCCAGUAGAGAGGGCACUCAGAGCCUCACUCAGACUGUGCCCCUCCACGCGGAGGAGCCUCCAUGCCAACGGCUACCCUGGGGGCAAGAUGCCUCCCCCUCACCCUUUCCUGGGACCUCGCCGAGGAUCUGGCCACUUAGGACUUUGGGAACGGAGGCAGGUGGACAGGAAGGCACCCAGGAGAGCAUCCCAAGCCAACUGUGUGAGGAGCAGAGUCCUGUCUUCAGCCCAGCACCAGGAUUAAAAGGCAUCAGGUCCCAGGAUGGACACACCUCUCCCCGCUCUUUCCGCAACAGAGACAGGAAGGUGGUAUUGGCAAACUUCUCCCAAAGACGUGGUGGCUCACCCAGGAGAGCAGCCCCGGGCAGGCGGGGUCCCAGGCCUGGAGAGGUCUGUAGAGGUUGGCAGGACCAGGGAUUCCCAAACGCGUCAAGCAGCAGAAGCCUCAUAGAAGAUCAAAGUCCGCUUGGAAGUCUCGUGCGGAAGUGGCAUUGUACCACCAGACCGUGUGUGCGUUUAAAAACAGUGCUUCCCAAUUACCGCAGAAGAUGAACUACGAGGCAGGUUUAAAACUGUCAAAGCAGUUUAGAUUUCUAAGCCACAAGUGAUAAAAUAUUUAAAUGUGUUUGGUAAGUUCGAACAUAGAACAUUUACUUGUUGUAAAGGCACCGUGAUGACAGCCCUGAGGCGGCUUUUAUGAACACAAACACAAAAAGCAAAGUUGUAAUCAUUUAAGUCUCAGCAUCCAAUUUAUUUCUGUGUUACCUUUGCUUGCUCAGGUUUGAGAAGAAUCUGGGUUUGCAAGGAUAAGUGGCUUAAAGAGCUCACCUGGAAAUCUCAGGGUACUCUUAGAUUCAAGAAUUUGAUUCAUUCAUCCACCCAACAAAUAGUUAUUGAGUGUCUAGUAGGUGUCAGGCAUUCUGCUGAGGUUUGAACAAUAAGGAGG